AGAAAGAAAAAGAUGGAGAAGAGAGGAAGAGAUGGGGUUUGGAGCGUUUUUGGCAAAAUCGAGCUACGGAGCUCAUUUCUCGACCAAAUUGAACGAUUUUGGUGGCUAUGGAUUCAGGACGCAAUCCUCUAUUCAUGGUUCGGCAAGGCAAUCGAACACACAUGUCCUGCCCCUAGUAGGCAAAGGAAUGUAGACCUUAGGAGCUUCGUGGGCAGUCCUCACAUGACGAGAAUGGAAGCAUUCGUCGUUGGUUAAGCUCGACGAGCAACGGGUCGAGGUAAGGAUAUAGUUCGACGUUUUCAAAAUAAGUAUUGAUUGAAGUUUUGUAUGGUUAAUAUUCAAGGAAUUUGGCCCUUGGCUAGUACAAUGGUUUAUGAUAUAAAUACUAAGGUAUUAGGUUCCGAUAAGUUAUAAUUUACGAGAUAAGUUACGCAAACUAGUAGGACGUUUUGCAGAAAACUAUUCUGCAAAACAGCUCCGUUGCAAAGUCCGUAUCUCGAGCUAUAUAACUCCAAAUUAAGUUCCGGUUGUUGGUACGAAAACAAAAGGAUGUUAUCUAAAUAUGUCUAUGUAUAUAUUUAUGAAAAUUAGGAACCUAAGAUGUUCAUUUGGGACUGAACAUUUUAUUGUGCAGUCUGCCCUGUACUUGUAAUAAGCUUUAAGGAAAUAACUUCCGAGCUAAUUUCUGACACCUUCGGAUGCUAAUCUCAGUCCGAGACCUGAACAAAUGUUUUAGGAGACAUCCUAAAAUUUAAUAAUGUUAAGUUUGUUUAGAGGUCGGACUGUUGUAAAUGAGCGGUUUCGAUAACCGAAGUUGGCUAAAAAUUAUAUUUUUGAUAUAUAGCUAUAGUUAGAAUGUUAAUAAUUUAGGUUACUAUCGAAUUUCUGAAGACUCGCCGAUGCGACUACUAACGGAAAACGAAACGUGAUGAAAGAUAUUUCUUUGUUAGUUCUAGAAGAUUUUGGAUAGCAAGUGUGUUUCAUUUCAGGGUCAUAGUAAAGGAUGUGACGGACUUCUAUCCUUGUUCCAGAAGUUCGGAGUUUGUACAUAAUCAUAAGUGCUGCAGUAGUCGAGUCCUAGUAAGCGUGUAAUGGUUUGUCAAACGGUUUUGAAUAUAUAAACUAUACUCUGAUAUGUAUGAUAGAUUUUGAAACUGCGCUAUUAAACCGUUUGUUAAAGGUGGAACGGGCUGUGCUGGAUGUGAGACAUCGCACUAUAAGACCCAGGUUCCUAUGUAAUAUCUUCAGGUUUUGAACUAGACAUUUGUAUACGUAAAGAAUGGAAAGGCUUUCAUGAAAAUGUUUUUGUA
Mercurialis annua (annual mercury) is the source of this 1310-nucleotide long non-coding RNA. RefSeq lists it as uncharacterized. The record is from RefSeq and is a predicted model, not a curated record. The transcript has 3 exons. NCBI's taxonomy places the organism in Eukaryota, Viridiplantae, Streptophyta, Magnoliopsida, Malpighiales, Euphorbiaceae.